RNAcentral lists this ribosomal RNA (395 nucleotides) under uncultured bacterium. RNAcentral's name for it is "bacterial SSU rRNA". It matches the Rfam family "Bacterial small subunit ribosomal RNA", at positions 997 to 1393 of the family's 1533-position model. The record is from RNAcentral.
GCCUAAGAGAUUAGGUGUUCCCUUCGGGGACAGAAUGACAGGUGGUGCAUGGUUGUCGUCAGCUCGUGUCGUGAGAUGUUGGGUUAAGUCCCGCAACGAGCGCAACCCUUAUUGUCAGUUGCCAGCAUUAAGUUGGGCACUCUGGCAAGACUGCCGGUGACAAACCGGAGGAAGGUGGGGAUGACGUCAAAUCAUCAUGCCCCUUAUGACCUGGGCUACACACGUGCUACAAUGGAUGGUACAACGAGUUGCGAACUCGCGAGAGUAAGCUAAUCUCUUAAAGUCGUUCUCAGUUCGGAUUGCAGGCUGCAACUCGCCUGCAUGAAGUCGGAAUCGCUAGUAAUCGCGGAUCAGCAUGCCGCGGUGAAUACGUUCCCGGGUCUUGUACACACCGA